RNAcentral lists this ribosomal RNA (304 nucleotides) under uncultured bacterium. RNAcentral describes it as "partial 16S ribosomal RNA". It matches the Rfam family "Bacterial small subunit ribosomal RNA", at positions 509 to 807 of the family's 1533-position model. The record is from RNAcentral.
CAGCAGUCGCCGCGGUAAAACGAAGGGUGCAAGCGUUAAUCGGAAUUAAUGGGCGUAAAGCGUGCGUAGGCGGUGAGUUAAGUCUGCUGUGAAAUCCCCGGGCUCAACCUGGGAAUGGCAGUGGAUACUGGCUCGCUAGAGUGUGUCAGAGGAUGGUGGAAUUCCCGGUGUAGCGGUGAAAUGCGUAGAGAUCGGGAGGAACAUCAGUGGCGAAGGCGGCCAUCUGGGACAACACUGACGCUGAGGCACGAAAGCGUGGGGAGCAAACAGGAUUAGAUACCCCAGUAGUCCCUGUCUCUUAUAC